RNAcentral lists this transfer RNA (73 nucleotides) under Helianthus annuus (common sunflower). RNAcentral's name for it is "tRNA HanXRQr2_Chr12g0534781". Lineage: Eukaryota; Viridiplantae; Streptophyta; Magnoliopsida; Asterales; Asteraceae. The record is from RNAcentral.
GAAGACAUAGCUCAAUUGGUUAGUGCGCACGUUUGGGAAGCUGUUGACCCGGGUUCGAGUCCCGUGGUCAGUA